UACGUAGGUCCCGAGCGUUGUCCGGAUUUAUUGGGCGUAAAGCGAGCGCAGGUGGCUUAUUAAGUCUGGUGUAAAAGGCAGUGGCUCAACCAUUGUAUGCAUUGGAAACUGGUAGACUUGAGUGCAGGAGAGGAGAGUGGAAUUCCAUGUGUAGCGGUGAAAUGCGUAGAUAUAUGGAGGAACACCGGUGGCGAAAGCGGCUCUCUGGACCGUAACUGACGUUGAGGCUCGAAAGCGUGGGGAGCAAACAGG
Molecule: ribosomal RNA, 252 nt
Filed under: uncultured bacterium
Lineage: Bacteria
Description: partial 16S ribosomal RNA
Rfam family: Bacterial small subunit ribosomal RNA
Source: RNAcentral